GAUGAACGCUGGCGGCGUGCCUAAUACAUGCAAGUCGAGCGAACGGACGAGAAGCUUGCUUCUCUGAUGUUAGCGGCGGACGGGUGAGUAACACGUGGAUAACCUACCUAUAAGACUGGGAUAACUUCGGGAAACCGGAGCUAAUACCGGAUAAUAUUUUGAACCGCAUGGUUCAAAAGUGAAAGACGGUCUUGCUGUCACUUAUAGAUGGAUCCGCGCUGCAUUAGCUAGUUGGUAAGGUAACGGCUUACCAAGGCAACGAUGCAUAGCCGACCUGAGAGGGUGAUCGGCCACACUGGAACUGAGACACGGUCCAGACUACUGAGGGACGCAGCAGUAGGGAAUCGUCCGCAAUGGUCGAAAGCCUGACGGAGCAACGCCGAGUGAGUGAUGAAGGUCUUCGGAUCGGAAAACUCUGUUAUUAGGGAAGAACAUAUGUGUAAGUAACUGUGCACAUCUUGACGGUACCUAAUCAGAAAGCCACGGCUAACUACGUG
RNAcentral lists this ribosomal RNA (497 nucleotides) under uncultured bacterium. Its description in RNAcentral is "partial 16S ribosomal RNA". It matches the Rfam family "Bacterial small subunit ribosomal RNA", at positions 28 to 507 of the family's 1533-position model. The record is from RNAcentral.